CUCAUCCUAUGCAAGAUCAAUAACAGCCUCGAUCAAUCUGUCAUAGACCUAGCCCAAAUCUUCCCUUCCCUCUCGCAGCUCACAAUUGAUCACUGUGAUGAUUUGAUAAAGUUACCUCUUAGCAUUUGUAGGAUGCAUUCUCUGAAGAGUCUUAGUAUAACCAAUUGCCCCAAUCUAAAAGAAAUCCCUACUAAUUUGGGUAACCUGAGAUUUCUACAAAUUCUAAGGUUGUAUGCUUGCCCGACUCUGAAGAUGCUUCCGUCAAGCAUAUGUGAGCUGGUGUCAUUGAAGUACCUAGACAUUUCUCAAUGUAUUAAUU
Molecule: unclassified non-coding RNA, 319 nt
Filed under: Hevea brasiliensis (rubber tree)
Lineage: Eukaryota; Viridiplantae; Streptophyta; Magnoliopsida; Malpighiales; Euphorbiaceae
Source: RNAcentral